AUUGAACGCUGGCGGUAUGCUUAACACAUGCAAGUCGAACGGCAGCAUUAUCUAGCUUGCUAGAUAGAUGGCGAGUGGCGAACGGGUGAGUAGCGCGUAGGAAUAUACCUUUUAGUGGGGGAUAACUCGAGGAAACUCGAGCUAAUACCGCAUGAGCUCUAAUGAGGAAAGCUGGGGACCUUCGGGCCUGGCGCUAGAAGAUUAGCCUGCGUACGAUUAGCUAGUUGGUGGGGUAAAGGCCUACCAAGGCGACGAUCGUUAGCUGGUCUGAGAGGAUGAUCAGCCACACUGGGACUGAGACACGGCCCAG
RNAcentral lists this ribosomal RNA (310 nucleotides) under uncultured bacterium. RNAcentral describes it as "bacterial SSU rRNA". It matches the Rfam family "Bacterial small subunit ribosomal RNA", at positions 30 to 334 of the family's 1533-position model. The record is from RNAcentral.